UUAACAAAAACAUGGCCUUUUGAUUAUAAUUUAAGGUCUAAUCUGCCCACUGAAAAUUUAAAUGGCCGCGGUAUAUUGACCGUGCAAAGGUAGCAUAAUAAUUAGUUUCUUAAUUAGAAGCUGGAAUGAAAGAUUGAAUGAGAAAAUAACUGUCUCAAAUUAAAUUUUUUAGAAUUUUAUUUUUAAGUUAAAAAGCUUAAAUUAAGUUAAAAGACGAGAAGACCCUAUAGAGUUUUAUUUAAUUUAUUUUAAAUUAAAUAUAAAUUUUAAUAUUUUUUUAAUUUAAGUUAAAUUUUGUUGGGGAGAUAGAAAAAUUAAUUAAACUUUUUUUAUAUUUUUACAUUAAUUAAUGAUUGAUUGAUCCAAAUAUUUUGAUUAUAAGAUAAAAUUACCUUAGGGAUAACAGCGUAAUUUUUUUUGAGAGUUCUUAUCGAAAAAAAAGAUUGCGACCUCGAUGUUGGAUUAAAGUUUAAUUUUGGUGUAGAAGCUAAAAAUUUAGGUCUGUUCGACCUUUAAAACUUUACAUGAUCUGAGUUCAGACC
This 542-nucleotide ribosomal RNA is filed under the name Stigmatium sp. UPOL001129. RNAcentral describes it as "partial 16S ribosomal RNA". It matches the Rfam family "Bacterial large subunit ribosomal RNA", at positions 1804 to 2617 of the family's 2925-position model. The record is from RNAcentral. Lineage: Eukaryota; Metazoa; Arthropoda; Insecta; Coleoptera; Cleridae.